AGGACGAACGCUGGCGGCACGCUUAAAACAUGCAAGUCGAACGUGAAGCCCGAGCUUGCUCGGGUGGAAAGUGGCGAACGGGUGCGUAACACGUGAGCAACCUGCCCCGAAGACUGGGAUAACACCGGGAAACCGGUGCUAAUACCGGAUGCCUUCACCACGUCGCAUGGCGAGGUGAAGAAAUGGAUUCCGCUUCGGGAUGGGCUCGCGGCCUAUCAGCUUGUUGGUGGGGUAACGGCCUACCAAGGCAACGACGGGUAGCUGGUCUGAGAGGAUGUCCAGCCACACUGGGACUGAGACACGGCCCAGACUCCUACGGGAGGCAGCAGUUAGGAAUCUUGCGCAAUGGGCGAAAGCCUGACGCAGCGAUGCCGCGUGCGGGAUGAAGGCCUUCGGGUCGUAAACCGCUUUCAGCAGGGACGAUUAUGACGGUACCUGCAGAAGAAGCCCGGCAACUACGUGCCAGCAGCCGC
This 473-nucleotide ribosomal RNA is filed under the name uncultured bacterium. RNAcentral's name for it is "SSU rRNA". It matches the Rfam family "Bacterial small subunit ribosomal RNA", at positions 26 to 518 of the family's 1533-position model. The record is from RNAcentral.